CAGGGAGACAACAAAAUGUUUAAUAUUAUUAUUUUGUCACCUUAGGUCGAUCGGUAUCUCACGUUCUUAACUUAUUAAGAAUUUCAUUUCCUAAGUUUUUCUAGGUCACACCCAUUAUUUUUCCUGGGCCAUUAGCUCAGGUGGUUAGAGCGCACCCCUGAUAAGGGUGAGGUCCCUGGUUCAAGUCCAGGAUGGCCCAUACCUCUAUGUUGGGGGUAUAGCUCAGUUGGUAGAGCGCCUGCUUUGCAAGCAGGAUGUCAGCGGUUCGAGUCCGCUUACCUCCACUGAUUACCACCUCUUCCAUAAUCUGUAUAAAGGAAAAUUUUUUGAGUUGUGAUCAGUAUCCUGAACGAAUCUAGCUUCCUAAUGUAUCCAUUAAGAUGCUGGACUCAUUGAAUUAAUUUCAUUGUUUUCAGAGAACCUUGACAACUGCAUAGAUUAUUUUUUUAAAGACAAUAAGCAUCUUUAAUGAUGCAGAUUUAUUAUUUGUGCUAAUGCAUUAAUAACAAUUCUAUUAAGCUGAUGCUUCAAUUUUUGAAGUUAUU
This 545-nucleotide transfer RNA is filed under the name uncultured Prochlorococcus sp. Its description in RNAcentral is "partial 16S-23S ribosomal RNA intergenic spacer". The stretch from base 212 to 284 matches the Rfam family "tRNA". The record is from RNAcentral. Lineage: Bacteria; Bacillati; Cyanobacteriota; Cyanophyceae; Synechococcales; Prochlorococcaceae.